GUUCGAUCGUGGCUCAGAUUGAACGCUGGCGGAUGCCCUUUUGUAUGCGACAGUCAGACAGCGGCACGGACUUCGGUCUGGUGGCGAGUGGCGAACAGGUGAGUAAUGUAUCCGGAACGUGCCUAAUGUGGCGGGGACGUUAAAGCGUAGCUAAUACCGCAUACGCCGUCAAAGGAAAGCAGGGGACCUUCCGGGCCUCGCAUAUUAGAGCGGCCGAUAUCGGAUUAGCUAGUUGGUGGGGUAACGGCUCACCAAGGCGACGAUCCGUAGCUGGGUUUGAAGGACGACCAGCCACACUGGGACUGAGACACGACCCAGACUCCUACAGGGAGGCAGCAGUGGGAAUUUUGGACAAUGAAGCCUGAUCCAGCCAUCCCGCGUGUGCGAUGAAGGCCUUCGGGUUGUAAAGCACUUUUGGCAGGAAAGAAACGGCACGGGAUAAUACCCGAUGCAACUGACAGUACCUGCAGAAUAGCUUUUUCAGCCAUAACUACGUGCCAGCAGCAGCCGCGGUAAUACGUAGGGUGCAAGCCGGGAUAAUCGGAAUUACUGGGCGUAAAGCGUGCGCAGGCGGUUCAGAAGAAAGAUGUAAAAAUCAGAGCUUAACGCUUUGGAACUGCAUUUUUAACUACCGAGCUAGAAGAGUGUGUCAGAGGGAGGUGGAAUUCCUGAUAAUAGCAGUGAAAUGCGUAGAUAUGCGGAACACCGAUGGCGAAACUGACCUCCUGGGAUAACACUGACGCUCAUGCGAAAAGCGUGGGGGCAAACGGGAUUAGAUACCCUGGUAGUCCGCCUAGGGCGGAUGUCAACUAGCUGUUGGGGCCUUCGGGGCCUUGUUGGCCCUGUGCUGGCAUCAAGUUGACAUUGGGGAAAUACAGUCGCAAGAUUAAAACUCAAAGGAAUUGACGGGGACCGCACAAGCGGUGGAUAGUGUGGAUUAAUUCGAUGCAACGCGGCAACACCUACCCUUGACAUGUCUGGAAUCCCGAAAGGGUCCAGGAGUGCUCGCAAGAGAACCGGAACACAGGUGCUGUGGCUAUCGUCAGCUCGUGUCGUGAGAUGUUGGGUUAAGUCCGCAACGAGCGCAACCCUUGUCGAUGGUGCUACGAAAGGGCACUCUAAUGAGACUGCCGGUGACAAACCGGAGGAAGGUGAAACAGGCGAUCUAAGUCCUCAUGGCCCUUAUGGGUAGGGCUUCACACGUCAUACAAUGGUCGGGACAGAGGGUCGCCAACCCGCGAGAGGCCAAUCCCAGAAACCCGAUCGUAGUCCGGAUCGCAGUCUGCAACUCGACUGCGUGAAGUCGGAAUCGCUAGUAAUCGCGGAUCAGCAUGUCGCGGUGAAUACGUUCCCGGGUCUUGUACACACCGCCCGUCACACCAUGGAAGUGGGUUUUAUAGAAGUAGUUAGCCUAACCGUAAGGAGGGCGAUUACCACGGUAGGAUUCAUGACUGGGGUGAAGUCGUAACAAAGGUAA
Molecule: ribosomal RNA, 1477 nt
Filed under: uncultured Bordetella sp.
Lineage: Bacteria; Pseudomonadati; Pseudomonadota; Betaproteobacteria; Burkholderiales; Alcaligenaceae
Description: partial 16S-23S ribosomal RNA intergenic spacer
Rfam family: Bacterial small subunit ribosomal RNA
Source: RNAcentral